Molecule: ribosomal RNA, 497 nt
Filed under: uncultured bacterium
Lineage: Bacteria
Description: partial 16S ribosomal RNA
Rfam family: Bacterial small subunit ribosomal RNA
Source: RNAcentral
GACGAACGCUGGCGGCGUGCCUAAUACAUGCAAGUUGAGCGAUGAAGAUUGGUGCUUGCACCAAUUUGAAGAGCAGCGAACGGGUGAGUAACGCGUGGGGAAUCUGCCUUUGAGCGGGGGACAACAUUUGGAAACGAAUGCUAAUACCGCAUAACAACUUUAAACAUAAGUUUUAAGUUUGAAAGAUGCAAUUGCAUCACUCAAAGAUGAUCCCGCGUUGUAUUAGCUAGUUGGUGAGGUAAAGGCUCACCAAGGCGAGGAUACAUAGCCGACCUGAGAGGGUGAUAGGCCAAAUUGGGACGGAGACACGGCCCAAACUCCUACGGGAGGCAGCAGUAGGGAAUCUUAGGCAAAGGACGAAAGUCUGAACGAGCAACGCCGCGUGAGUGAAGAAGGUUUUCGGAUCGUAAAACUCUGUUGGUAGAGAAGAACGUUGGUGAGAGUGGAAAGCUCAUCAAGUGACGGUAACUACCCAGAAAGGGACGGCUAACUACGUG